RNAcentral lists this long non-coding RNA (216 nucleotides) under Vigna radiata. RNAcentral describes it as "long non-coding RNA (VRAD_LNC000015)". Lineage: Eukaryota; Viridiplantae; Streptophyta; Magnoliopsida; Fabales; Fabaceae. The record is from RNAcentral.
UCAGAAGUUAUCAUUUUUUGGUUGUUGUAGGAAUUCAAAUUAUAUAAUUCUAGUCUGCUUUAUCAAUAAUAAGGUUUUUAUUUCAAUUAAGAAGUAGUAAUUUUAAAAUAAAAAAUAUUAAUCACUUUGAGAGUAUUUAACCACAAAGUAAUGAUGUUUGAUCAAAUUAUAUGAGUUAAUUAGGUUAACUAUUGUUAGCAUCCAACUUCGUCCGGG